AAGUCGUAACAAGGUAACCGUAGGUGAACCUGCGGUUGGAUCAUUACCAAAUCCCAAGGGGCCCAGCGCAAGCUGGACUCCAACCCACCUCUUGUGCAAUGUAACGUUUUUGGCGGGAGCUGCCUGGUUUUGAGUGGUUGCUGUUGUUGUUGUUGCUUGGUGCCUCACGGCAUCGAGUGGCGGCGACGACCUCCCACAAAAGGCCAGAAGGCAUCGCGGAGGAAUCACUUCCUCUGACCGUCAAUCUUUAAACCACUCCUUACAAUACCUUAAUCCUCUGACGUAACCUUGGAAGCGGUAUGUCUGCCUCACGGCGACUGCGGCAACCAUGCGAAACGAAAAAACAACUUUUGACAACGGAUCUCUUGGCUCUC
Molecule: unclassified non-coding RNA, 374 nt
Filed under: fungal sp.
Lineage: Eukaryota; Fungi
Description: partial internal transcribed spacer region
Rfam family: Eukaryotic small subunit ribosomal RNA (bases 1-46)
Source: RNAcentral